AUCCAGCUGACGAGUCCAAAAACAGGACGAAAUGCGUGUCGCGGAU
This 46-nucleotide non-coding RNA is filed under the name Schistosoma mattheei. The record is from RNAcentral. Lineage: Eukaryota; Metazoa; Platyhelminthes; Trematoda; Strigeidida; Schistosomatidae.